This is a long non-coding RNA of Salvelinus fontinalis (brook trout), 3557 nucleotides long. RefSeq lists it as uncharacterized. The record is from RefSeq and is a predicted model, not a curated record. NCBI's taxonomy places the organism in Eukaryota, Metazoa, Chordata, Actinopteri, Salmoniformes, Salmonidae. The transcript is spliced from 3 exons.
UAGCAAGAGAAACAGCAAGUUCUGGCCAAGCGCUCACCAUUCUGCAGAAUAAGGAUCAGAACUUUACAGAGCAGUUCAUCGUGGCCCUGUCAUUCGCCUCCUUCACCAAAGCUCAGUCAGGGACCUACAUGAAGAGUGCCAUCACUCAGAGAGACACUUUGACCUGUCCAGCUCUCUCAUUGGACUCAUAGACGGCAGCUUUGAGAUGGGUUUCAACAAUAACAUUGAGUUGCUUGAAAAUUCAUGUAUUUAAAACCAGAUACAAACUACAGUAUGAUAAAUUUUUUGUUGUGGUUCAAUCAGAGUCUGCUCUCAAUACUGUCCAUUUUUAUAGUUGUUCCUAUUAAUUGAUUGACUGGCGAUUGUCCAUAACUCUACUGUCAAACCCCUAACAUUGCUAUGUUGUUGCAGCCUAGUAUCCAAACUGAUAUGCCAUUUUUAGUUUUUUUUUUUUAACUGUGUUUAUAAUUUGCGAUUCCUGGCUACUGUAGUGUUGUGGUUUCUUGCAGGUAACCUGCUGUUCCUGGCUGUGGUCAGCCAUUUUGGGGCGAAGCUGCACCGGCCCAGGCUCAUUGCUAUGGGCUGUUUCCUCAUGGCUGUAGGAUCCUUCCUCACAGGCCUGCCACACUUCUUCAUGGGACGGUAAAACAACUGAAAUACUGGUUAAACUUGUACUUGUAGAGAUACUCCAAUGCGGAGGAUAGUUUUACUUUAGAAAUAAAGAAAUGUAUCCAGUUGUUGAUUAAUCUCAGUUAACUUAGAACUAAAGUCUUGCGUAAUUGGUCAGCUGCUUGAUUAUGUUUUGGGGCCAUACAUGUUAAGAGAAGGGAUUAAGAGAUGCUAUAACUGUGACGUGGUAAGGUUGGACCCAGGCGCAGAGAAGAGACCAGAAGAUGAAGCAGUGGUUCCAACCAGUGUCUCCACUCCUCAAGGGCCCACUUAACUGCCAAGAGCUCCCGGUUGCCUACGUGGUAGUUGCCUUCCGCUGGUCGAGAACUGCUUGGAGAGAAAGGUGCAUGGGUGCAGUUUCUUGUCCUCCUCGUUUGCUGUGAAAGGACCGCCCCAGCUCCGGUGUCCGAGGCCUCCACCUCUACCACAAAGGGACGAGUAGGAUCAGGAUGAACGAGGAAGGGUCCGGAGGUGAAACGUCCCUUGAGCUCUAUGAAUGCCCUGUCAGCCUCGGGAUUCCAGCAAAAACCUGCUUAAGUGAGGUGGGACAGGGCUGUAUGUGUUCCAGAAGAGUUUUUGGGGAAGAUCAGGAUGUCGUCGAGGUAAACAAAGACGAACCGAUUCAACAUUUCCCUAAGAGUGUCAUUGAUCAAUGCCUGAACGACUGCUGGUGAGUUAGAUAUUCCGAAGGUCAUGACUAGAUACUCAGUGACCACUGGGAGUGUUAAAGGCAGUUUUCCACUCAUCUCCCUGAUUCUCACCAGAUUUUAAGCGUUGCGGAGGUCCAGUUUGGUGAAGAAUUGGGCUCCUAGGGCCAACUCCAAGUUUGGGUCAGAGACAGAGAGACAAGGGAUGCGUUUAGACAGGCAGCCCAAAUAUGAUAUUUGUUCCACUAAUUGGUCUUUUGAACAAUCACAGUAGAUAUUUUCGCAUCAGCUCUUUUUCAGAGCAUAUCUGAUUGGUCAAAAUACAAAUUACUAAAAAAAAUGGCUGAAUUGGGCUGCCUGUCUCAACGAAGCCAUAGAAACCUGGACAUGCUCCAACUGAAAUGUUCCCUCCUGUCAGUACUGAUGUUGAAUGGCAUUAAAUACACUUUUUUUGUUCUCUCCCAUCCCCUGUAGGUUUGUUGAACAUGAGUUGAUAUGAAACUCCAGCACACUGGUAGCACUAUAGAUGUGUGAGUAUAACUUUUCCAGGUGAGUUGAACCUUCCUGUGGGUGCGGUGGGGACAUUCCUGGAAGGUCUACUAAUGAAGAGGUAUAAGCUAGACGGUGUCUGGAGCCCAGCUGUCUUUCGUCCCCUCCUUCAUGGCCUACCUCCUCCUCCCUCUGCAGUCUGGCACUAAGUGUGACAACGUUCAGGUGGCUGGUCUGACCGUGUCCUACAACGAGUCUCCUGGUGUACGAUGGCAGCCUGUUGUCAGAGUGUAACAGAGACUGCUCCUGCUUGGCUGGGGAGUGGAACCCUGUGUGUUCAGACAAUGGCAUCACCUACACCUCCCCCUGCCUCGCAGGCUGCUCCAGCUCUACAGGUUAUGGCAAGAACACGGUACCAAUACUAUUAAUGUACUGAGUGUACAAAACAUUCACAGGGAUGCUGGCCCAUGUUGACUCCAAUGCUUCCCACAGUUGUGUCAAAUUGGCUGUAUUGUCUUUUGAGUGGUGGACCAUUCUUGAUACACACGGGAAACUUUUGAGCGUAAAAAGCGUUGCAGUUCUUGACACAAACUGGUAUCCCUAGCACCUACUACCAUGCCCCGUUGAAAGGCACGUAAAUUUUGUCUUGCCCAUUCACCCUCUGAAUGGCACACAUACACAAUCCAUGUCUCAAUUGUCUCAAGCCUUACAAUAUACUUUUUAACCUUUCUCCUCCUCUUUAUCUACACUUAUUUAAGUGGAUUUAACUAGUGACAUCCAUAAGAGAUUAUAGCUUUAACCUGGAUUCAUCUGGUCAACAUAUGUCCUGGAAAGAGCAGGUGUUCUUAAUAUUUUAUACACUCAGUGUAACUCAUUGCCACUGAAAUAAGUUAUUUUCAGCCAUUAACUGGGGCCAAGUUGAGGCCUUAUCUAAGUAAGAAGUUGCUGAUUGACAAUAAAGUAUUAUUUUGAUAUAUGGAAAAAAUAUGGUAUGCAAUUCCUAUGUAGAGAAGCUUCUCUCUGGUAGUUGUUCAAUAUGACCUCAACUUUUACAGGGCACUCUUUUUUUCUUUCUUUUUUCUCUUUUUUUAAUGAACAAAUAUCAUCAAACAAAAGAACAAACAAGCAUAAUAAAACUUUUUACAUUGCCAGGAAUCCUAAACAAACAAAUCAUAUUCAUUAAUAAUACAACAAGUUUUAAUUGCCUUUUUGUUUUUCAUUUUAGUUAAAGUGGUGCCAUAUUGUUUAAACUCAUUUAUAAAUUGAAACAAAGUUAGGUUUUGAUUUAGACCAUUUGCAUUUGUGAAUAUGAAAUGUACCUAUUAUUGUUAGAAUUUCUGAAAUAAAUAAUUAUAUCAAAACCAUUAUAGUACCUAACUUUUUUUGUAACAAAAUUCUGUAUUUCAAUCCAAAACAUUCUGCUAUAAAUACAGGUAAAAAACAAAUGCAAAAUGGUCUCCUUCUCCAUUCCACAGAAAUCUGUUAUAUUCAAUAUUCAGCUUGUGUCACGCCCUGACCAUAGAGAGCCCUCGGGGUUCUCUAUGGUGUUUUAGGUCAGGGCGUGACUAGGGAAGUUUCUAGGUAUUAUAUUUGUAUGUUGGUGUGUGUGUAUGGUUCCCAAUUGGAGGCAGCUGAUAAUCGUUACCUCUAAUUGGGGAUCAUACUUAUUAGUGUGAACUUUUUCCCACCUGCGAUGUGGGAUAUUGUUUUGUGUGAGUGCCUAUGUUCGCUACGUGGUUCACGAUCGUUAUA